AGUGAACGCUGGCGGUAGGCCUAACACAUGCAAGUCGAACGGCAGCACAGUAAGAGCUUGCUCUUACGGGUGGCGAGUGGCGGACGGGUGAGGAAUAUAUCGGAAUCUACUUUUUCGUGGGGGAUAACGUAGGGAAACUUACGCUAAUACCGCAUACGACCUACGGGUGAAAGCGUGGGAUCUUCGGACCUUGCGCGAUUGAAUGCGCCGAUGUCGGAUUAGCUAGUUGGCGGGGUAAAGGCCAACUAAGGCAACGAUCCGUAGCUGGUCUGAGAGGCUGAUAGGCGACAUGGGAACUGAGACACGGUCAAGACGACUACGGGAGGCAGCAGUGGGGAAUAGUAGACAAUGGGCGCGAGCCUGGUACAGCGAUACCACGUGGGUGAAGAAGGCCUUCGGGUUGUAAAGCCGUUUUGUUGGGAAAGAAAAGCAGCAGGUUAAUACCCCGCUGUUCUGACGGUACCCAAAGAAUAAGCACCGGCUAACUUCGUG
RNAcentral lists this ribosomal RNA (492 nucleotides) under uncultured bacterium. RNAcentral's name for it is "partial 16S ribosomal RNA". It matches the Rfam family "Bacterial small subunit ribosomal RNA", at positions 29 to 507 of the family's 1533-position model. The record is from RNAcentral.